RNAcentral lists this ribosomal RNA (75 nucleotides) under Vibrio parahaemolyticus. Its description in RNAcentral is "partial 16S ribosomal RNA". It matches the Rfam family "Bacterial small subunit ribosomal RNA", at positions 1 to 73 of the family's 1533-position model. The record is from RNAcentral. RNAcentral also lists the same sequence under 2 other names. Lineage: Bacteria; Pseudomonadati; Pseudomonadota; Gammaproteobacteria; Vibrionales; Vibrionaceae.
UUAAAUUGAAGAGUUUGAUCAUGGCUCAGAUUGAACGCUGGCGGCAGGCCUAACACAUGCAAGUCGAGCGGAAAC